This 711-nucleotide ribosomal RNA is filed under the name uncultured bacterium. RNAcentral's name for it is "bacterial SSU rRNA". It matches the Rfam family "Bacterial small subunit ribosomal RNA", at positions 102 to 832 of the family's 1533-position model. The record is from RNAcentral.
ACGGGUGAGUAACACGUGAGUAACCUGCCUUAGACAUUGGGAUAGCCUCGGGAAACCGGGAUUAAUACCGAAUAACAUCACAUAGACACAUGUCAUUGUGAUCAAAACUCCGGUGGUCUAAGAUGGACUCGCGUCCCAUUAGCUAGUUGGUGAGGUAACGGCCCACCAAGGCGACGAUGGGUAGCCGGCCUGAGAGGGUGAACGGCCACAUUGGAACUGAGAAACGGUCCAAACUCCUACGGGAGGCAGCAGUGGGGAAUAUUGCACAAUGGGGGAAACCCUGAUGCAGCGACGCCGCGUGAACGAAGAAGGCUUUCGAGUCGUAAAGUUCUUUUAUAUGGGAAGAUAAUGACGGUACCAUAAGAAAAAGCCCCGGCUAACUACGUGCCAGCAGCCGCGGUAAUACGUAGGGGGCUAGCGUUGUCCGGAAUCACUGGGCGUAAAGGGUUCGCAGGCGGAAAUGCAAGUCAGAUGUAAAAGGCAGUAGCUUAACUACUGUAAGCAUUUGAAACUGCAUAUCUUGAGAAGAGUAGAGGUAAGUGGAAUUUUUAGUGUAGCGGUGAAAUGCGUAGAUAUUAAAAAGAAUACCGGUGGCGAAGGCGACUUACUGGGCUCAUUCUGACGCUGAGGAACGAAAGCGUGGGUAGCAAACAGGAUUAGAUACCCUGGUAGUCCACGCUGUAAACGAUGAGUGCUAGGUGUCGGCGUAAG